GAAGUGCCCGCGACUCCACUGAUUGUCGGGACUACAUUUCCCAGAAUCCCCCGGACCCGCCCGCGUGAGCCAAAAUGACCACGACUCCACUGAACGUUUGGACUGCGCUCAGAACGCUGAGGGAAAAACGUUCAGAAUCUCACCCUUCAGGGAAAGCGCUGGGACUCCGCGGUGAUCCUUGACUACGAUUUCCGCAAUGCCAAUGGGGAACGAAUCCUAUAUCUCUGAGCGCCUAGUAGGGAAUGUGGACUGUGACCCUGAGGAUCGUCCUUCCCUCUCCCUGAGUCCUUGAGCGAAAAUACUGAACAGACAGGAAUUCCUGAAGUCUAAACUCCUCCCAGGACUACAGGAGCGUUAUUGGAAAGCGAGGAGAUCCAAUCUUCAAGGAAUAAACGAGGAAUGACUUUUUAGGGGUCAGUAGAUGAUUGAUGAUUGAUUACUAUAAACUGAUAAUAUAAGGCUAAAACUAAAAGUUUAAAGAAUGAGCAAGGUACAAUGAUUUGGGAGAGGCAAUGAAGAACAGAGGCGCCAGGCCCUACUCUGGACGCUGUGGUACCACUGGUUUGGCAGGAAAGGGCCAGUGGGGAAGCCUCGUCCUCAUGGAAAAGCUAUCUUCCUUCAUUACACUUUUCGUGGUAUUAUGUCUACUGAAGAGGGAAUAUUCAGAGUCCUGAGUGAUGCAGUCCGAGGGAAAGCAGAAUCCUGCCUGGAAAGUACCAGGGAAAGCAGAGAAAGAGACAUGAAAGUGUGGCCAGGGAUGCCGUCCGCCAACACGAAUGUGUAUUGUAAAUGAACACAUGAAUGUUCACAACAGCAUCAUUCAUAGUAACCCAAAACUGCACACCAACAAAUGCCCUCCUAUGAGUACAGGGAUAGACAAAUUGUGGCCUAUUCUUACAAUGGAAUCUUAUUUGGAAAUUAAAAGGAAUGAAGUACUGUUCAUGCUACACCA
Molecule: non-coding RNA, 952 nt
Organism: Macaca mulatta (Rhesus monkey)
Lineage: Eukaryota; Metazoa; Chordata; Mammalia; Primates; Cercopithecidae
Source: RefSeq, a predicted model, not a curated record